AUUGUAAAGGUUCAAUUGUAAAAUUUAUCAUGAAUGUGUUAGAUUAGAUCUAAAAGAAUAUUCAUGAUUUAUUUUGAUUGAGUUAUUUUUUGUUAUGUAAUUAGCAAUAGGAUUGCUGUUUAUGAAAUGUGCUGAUCCAUUUGUGAAAUAAGUCAACAUAUUUGAUGAACAGAAAAUAAAACCUUUCAAAUUUGAAAAUUAUUUUCGAAAUACCAAACCCUGACCCAUCAGCCCAAAUACUUAAUUAAAAGAUUUAAGUGUUGUCUAGUUGGUCUAGAAUUGUGAAUUAAGAUCUAUGACAAUUGCAUAAACUUGUGGGUCAAUGGGUUAGAUGAAUUAGGUCCAUAAUUGGGUUAGACCUAAGGUUAGCUUAAAGAAAUGGACUAAAUUAGAGUAAUUGGUCAAAUCUAAUCAAAAGUAAUUAGAUUAGGUCAAGGAUACUCUAGACUCAACUCCAAUAGUUGUAGUUGAAUGGGUCCAUGUCUUUAACUAGACCAAGAUGGACUUAAUUCAUGGCUACGCGGUGGAAUCCUAUUUACUAAGUUGAUCAAAUUAAAACUAAUAAACCGAUUGGUGUCUAAGGUAAAUUCGGCAGUCUGACCAGUGGUUUUUAAGUGAGAGCUACUCGCAUUGAUUCGAUCUCUGACGAGUUAAUGGCAUAUCCCCACCACUGAUCUCACUUACCUGGCCAACCUAGUGAGUUAGGUUUUGAUUAGAUCACUUGGUGAUUAAGGCUCACCCAUGUCAUUAGGUAAAUCAGUGUGACUGAUUUAGGUGCUCCUAAUGCCGGCUUUAAUUAAAUCCUUUUUAAUCUGACUUGGUGAAGUCAGUGGGAGGAUUAAAAUUAGCUGAUUAAUUUCUUCUCUUCUAUCCUUUAAUAAAAUUCUCAAAAAUCAUUAGGUCC
Molecule: long non-coding RNA, 904 nt
Filed under: Elaeis guineensis (African oil palm)
Lineage: Eukaryota; Viridiplantae; Streptophyta; Magnoliopsida; Arecales; Arecaceae
Description: long non-coding RNA (EGUI_LNC074886)
Source: RNAcentral